This 376-nucleotide ribosomal RNA is filed under the name uncultured organism. Its description in RNAcentral is "partial 16S ribosomal RNA". It matches the Rfam family "Bacterial small subunit ribosomal RNA", at positions 527 to 896 of the family's 1533-position model. The record is from RNAcentral.
GUAGGUGGCAAGCGUUUGUCCGGAAUUAGUUGGGACGUAAAGCGCGCGCAGGCGGUUUCUUUAAGUCUGAUGUAGAAACGCCCACGGCUCAACCGUGGAGGGUCAUUGGAAACUGGAGAACUUGAGUACAGAAGAGGAAAGCGGAAUUCCACGUGUAGCGGUGAAAUGCGUAGAGAUGUGGAGGAACACCAGUGGCGAAGGCGGCUUUUCUGGUCUGUAACUGACGCUGAGGCGCGAAAGCGUGGGGAGCAAACAGGGAUUAGAUACCCUGGUAGUCCACGCCGUAAACGAUGAGUGCUAAGUGUUAGGGGGUUUCCGCCCCCUUAGUGCUGCAGCUAACGCAUUAAGCACUCGCCUGGGGAUACGCGCAAGGCUG